Molecule: ribosomal RNA, 1109 nt
Filed under: uncultured bacterium
Lineage: Bacteria
Description: bacterial SSU rRNA
Rfam family: Bacterial small subunit ribosomal RNA
Source: RNAcentral
UGAGUUUGAUCCUGGCUCAGGAUGAACGCUGGCGACAGGCUUAACACAUGCAAGUCGAGGGGCAGCGGGAGGAAAGCUUGCUUUCCUUGCCGGCGACCGGCGCACGGGUGAGUAACACGUAUGCAACUUGCCCAUGACAGGGGGAUAAGCGGGAGAAAUUCCGUCUAAUACCACAUAACACCCCCGGGAGGCAUCUUCCGGGAGUCAAAGGAGCGAUCCGGUCAUGGAUGGGCAUGCGGCGCAUUAGCUUGUUGGCGGGGUAACGGCCCACCAAGGCGACGAUGCGUAGGGGUUCUGAGAGGAAGGUCCCCCACACUGGUACUGAGACACGGACCAGACUCCUACGGGAGGCAGCAGUGAGGAAUAUUGGUCAAUGGGCGCGAGCCUGAGCCAGCCAAGUCGCGUGAGGGAAGACGGUCCUACGGAUUGUAAACCUCUUUUGUCGGGGAGCAAUAAGGCGUACGUGUACGCAGAUGCGAGUACCCGAAGAAAAAGCAUCGGCUAACUCCGUGCCAGCAGCCGCGGUAAUACGGAGGAUGCGAGCGUUAUCCGGAUUUAUUGGGUUUAAAGGGUGCGCAGGCGGAAAGUGCAAGUCAGCGGUCAAACGACGGGGCUCAACCCCGUCUCGCCGUUGAAACUGUCUUUCUAGAGUGAGCGAGAAGUAUGCGGAAUGCGUGGUGUAGCGGUGAAAUGCAUAGAUAUCACGCAGAACUCCGAUUACGAAGGCAGCAUACCGGCGCUCAACUGACGCUCAUGCACGAAAGCGUGGGUAUCGAACAGGAUUAGAUACCCUGGUAGUCCACGCAGUAAACGAUGAAUACUAAUUGUCCGGGCAGAAUGAUGCCUGGGUGAUACAGCGAAAGCGUUAAGUAUUCCACCUGGGGAGUACGCCGGCAACGGUGAAACUCAAAGGAAUUGACGGGGGCCCGCACAAGCGGAGGAACAUGUGGUUUAAUUCGAUGAUACGCGAGGAACCUUACCCGGGCUCAAACGACACAGGAAUACUUUUGAAAGGAGGUAGCCAGCAAUGGUCUGUGUCGAGGUGCUGCAUGGUUGUCGUCAGCUCGUGCCGUGAGGUGUCGGCUUAAGUGCCACAACGAGCGCAACCC